UCUCUGCUGCUACUGCUGUCCCUGCUGUGGGGAGGUGAGGGGGCUGGGCAGAGGCGGGAGGGUUGGCGGGAGCUCAAUGUCAAAGCCUAAAUGCUGGAGGACCACGCGGGGUAUGAGCUGCAGAUUCCAGAGCUGGUGAUGGUGCAGGAGGGCCUGUAUGUCCUGGUGCCCUGCUCCUUCUCCUACCCCAGUGACAGAUGGAGUCACUCAGACCCACCCUACGUCUUCUGGUUCCGGCAAGGGGACAAUGAACACUGGGAUCCUCCCAUGGCCACAAACAAACCCAGCUAGAAGCUGCAAAAGAGAAGCUAGGACCAUUUCCAAUUUCCUUGGGGACCCCCAGACUGACAUCUGUUCCCUGAGCAUCAGAGACACCAGGAGGAAAGAUGGCGGAGUGUAUUUAUUUCGGUUGGAGAGGGGUCCUGUCGUGAAAUUCAGCUUCAAGCAAAAGACACUGUCUUUGAACGUGAUAGGUAGGCGUGCUGUGUCCAGGAGCCUAGGGCUCAGAUGGGGGAGCCAUUCCUGGGGCUGGGACAGAGGCUGCUUCUGAGUUCACACCCUGGAAGUCCCCUCUCUGUGUCCCAGGUCUUUGCCUCUCUCCUUCCCAGCCCUCACCCAGACACCUGACAUCCAAGUCCCAGCAACUCUGGAAUCUGGCCAUCCUGCGAACCUGCUACGUGUCAGCAGCCUGGAAAAGCAGAAAGUCACUCAUCUUUUCCUGGACAUGGGGAACUGUCAUCUCCCUGGGCCCUAGGACCCCUCACUUCUCAGAGAUCACCAUCAUCCCACUUCCCUGGAGCCACGGCUCCAGUAUCACCUUCCAAGUGACUUUCCCAAGGUUUCAUGUGACCACAGAGAUGACCAUCCAACUCAAUGUCUCCUGUGAGUCUGAGUUAUUUUGGGCAGUGACUGUGGGAAGAGAGUCAGGGUAUGGGAUACUUGGAGUGGGGUCCUGGAUUCUGGGCAGGGGAAGGGACCAAAGGAUGCUCCCCUAACCCUCAAAACUGAAGAGGGAUGUGUCAUCUUUUGAAUUCAGAUGCUCCACAGAACCUGACCAUCAGUGUCUUCCAUGGAAAUAAAACAGGUAGGAGGCAAGCCCUCCUUUCCAAGGUUG
RNAcentral lists this long non-coding RNA (1114 nucleotides) under Homo sapiens (human). RNAcentral's name for it is "non-protein coding lnc-SIGLEC6-3:1". Lineage: Eukaryota; Metazoa; Chordata; Mammalia; Primates; Hominidae. The record is from RNAcentral.